RNAcentral lists this ribosomal RNA (459 nucleotides) under uncultured bacterium. RNAcentral's name for it is "partial 16S ribosomal RNA". It matches the Rfam family "Bacterial small subunit ribosomal RNA", at positions 338 to 795 of the family's 1533-position model. The record is from RNAcentral.
CCUACGAGGAGCAGCAGUGAGGAAUAUUGGUCAAUGGGCGUAAGCCUGAACCAGCCAAGGCGCGUGAGGGAUGAAGGUUCUAUGGAUCGUAAACCUCUUUUAUAAGGGAAUAAAGUGUGGGACGUGUCCUAUUUUGUAUGUACCUUAUGAAUAAGGAUCGGAUAACUCCGUGCCAGCAGCCGCGGUAAUACGGAGGAUCCGAGCUUUAUCCGGAUUUAUUGGGUUUAAAGGGUGCGUAGGCGGAGGCACAAGUCAGCGGUAAAAUCGCGGGGCUCAACCCCGCUCCGCCGUUGAAACUGUGUCCCUUGAGGGCGCGAAGGGUAGGCGGAAUGCGUGGUGUAGCGGUGAAAUGCAUAGAUAUCACGCAGAACUUCGAUCGCGAAGGCAGCCUACCGGCGCGCAACUGACGCUCAUGCACGAAAGCGUGGGUAUCGAACAGGAUUAGAUACCCUGGUAGUC